AAGUCGUAACAAGGUUUCCGUAGGUGAACCUGCGGAAGGAUCAUUAUUGAUUGUGAAUCGUUGCCUCCAGUGCUGGCUCUCGCAAGUGCACGGUUGGUGACUUUCAUCCAACACCCUGUGAACCUUUGGCCUCUUGCUAGCUUCGGCUGGCAGAGGAUUUUUACACACACUCGAAUGUAAUGAAAUUAUUGUCGUGCGCAAGCACUUAUGUACAACUUUCAACAACGGAUCUCUUGGCUCUCGCAUCGAUGAAGAACGCAGCGAAAUGCGAUAAGUAAUGUGAAUUGCAGAAUUCAGUGAAUCAUCGAAUCUUUGAACGCACCUUGCACCCUUUGGCAUUCCGAAGGGUAUGCUCGUUUGAGUGUCAUUGUACUCUCACACUUCUGAUCCUUUGGAUUUGGAGCGGUGGACUUGGGUGUUGCCACUUGACGGUGGCUCACCUCUAAUGCAUUAGUGCAACUCCUGGUUGGACCAUAGUACGGCGUGAUAAGUGUCUUCGCCGGCACCUCGUGAGAGGGUGGCCGAUCGAGAGCUCUGUGCUUUCAAACCGUCCUUGCAAGGACAAUGACUGACAACUUGACCUCAAAUCGAGUAGGACUACCCGCUGAACUUAA
This 614-nucleotide ribosomal RNA is filed under the name uncultured Sebacina. Its description in RNAcentral is "eukaryotic LSU rRNA". The stretch from base 214 to 367 matches the Rfam family "5.8S ribosomal RNA". Lineage: Eukaryota; Fungi; Basidiomycota; Agaricomycetes; Sebacinales; Sebacinaceae. The record is from RNAcentral.